GUGCUCGCUUCAGCAGCACAUGUACUAAAACUGGCACAACACAGAGAAGAUUAACAUGGCCCUGCGCAAGGAUGACGCAAAUUCGUGAGGUGUUCCAUGUUUUA
This is a small nuclear RNA of Monodon monoceros (narwhal), 104 nucleotides long. Lineage: Eukaryota; Metazoa; Chordata; Mammalia; Artiodactyla; Monodontidae. The record is from Ensembl.